Long non-coding RNA from Mauremys mutica (yellowpond turtle), 747 nucleotides. RefSeq lists it as uncharacterized. The record is from RefSeq and is a predicted model, not a curated record. NCBI's taxonomy places the organism in Eukaryota, Metazoa, Chordata, Testudines, Geoemydidae. The transcript is spliced from 3 exons.
CACAGCUGUCCAGAGCAGUUCAAGUCUACAGUGGGGAGGACAUACUGUGUUAGGCUACAAUGCAGAAGCUGCUCUGGCCUCGAGAGUAAAAUAGACUGGCUGGAGGCAACAGAUUGGAAUAUCAGCAAUCCUGAGGUGUCGUGGCUGAAACUAUGCACGUGAGAAAGCAGGAAGAGUGUAUUACACUAAAACAGCCUUAGAGUGAAGUUCUGCUCUGAAGAUAUAUUACAGCAAUAUUCCAGGAAAGUGAGCUGCCAAUAACCAAGGAGGAGGACUUGCUGAUAGGCUGUAUUACUCAAAGCGUGACACAAGUGAAGAAAGGGGCAGCUUCAGUAUAGUUCUAAGAUGAAGCUCAGCAAAUGAACAGAGGAGUGGAAAGCUGCUUUGAUUUGCCCUCUGCCAGGUACCAGGAGGAAAAGCUGGUGCUAAUGUCAAAUCUGUUUGUAUUUUUUUUUUGUUUGUUUGUUUGUUUUUUGUCUAGACAAAAUAUUUGCCACAAAUGGUCAGAUUUGCAUCUGUCAUAAUACAAGCUCUGAAAACUUGAAUGAUUAAAAUGAAUUCCAUUGUGUUCACUAAUGUGGAGAUACACAAUGCUAUAGAAAAACCUUCCUUCAAACAAAACCACAAUUGCAUUGCCUGUCAAGUCUGGUAAUCCUGUAUACAGCCAGACCUGAAGAAGAGCUCUGUGUAAACUCGAUAGCUUGUCUCUCUACUAACAGAAGACGGCCCAAUAAAGAUAUUACUUUA